GGGCCCGCACAAGCAGCGGAGCAUGUGGUUUAAUUCGAAGCAACGCGAAGAACCUUACCAGGUCUUGACAUCGAUCUAAGCCGGUGGAAACACCGGGUGCUUUCGGGCAAGAGAAGACAGGUGGUGCAUGGUUGUCGUCAGCUCGUGUCGUGAGAUGUUGGGUUAAGUCCCGCAACGAGCGCAACCCUUGCCGCCAGUUGCUAACGCGUGAAGGCGAGCACUCUGACGGGACUGCCGGGGACAACUCGGAGGAAGGUGGGGACGACGUCAAAUCAUCAUGCCCCUUAUGACCUGGGCUACACACGUGCUACAAUGGCCGCAACAGAGAGGCGCAAGACCGCAAGGUGGAGCGGAUCUGGAAAAGCGGUCUCAGUUCAGAUCGUGGGCUGCAACCCGCCCACGUGAAGUCGGAGUUGCUAGUAAUCGCGAAUCAGCAUGUCG
RNAcentral lists this ribosomal RNA (441 nucleotides) under uncultured Bacillota bacterium. Its description in RNAcentral is "bacterial SSU rRNA". It matches the Rfam family "Bacterial small subunit ribosomal RNA", at positions 917 to 1359 of the family's 1533-position model. The record is from RNAcentral. Lineage: Bacteria; Bacillati; Bacillota.